RNAcentral lists this ribosomal RNA (822 nucleotides) under uncultured bacterium. RNAcentral's name for it is "bacterial SSU rRNA". It matches the Rfam family "Bacterial small subunit ribosomal RNA", at positions 8 to 847 of the family's 1533-position model. The record is from RNAcentral.
AGAGUUUGAUCCUGGCUCAGGACGAACGCUGGCGGCGUGCUUAACACAUGCAAGUCGAGCGGAAAGGCCCUUCGGGGUACUCGAGCGGCGAACGGGUGAGUAACACGUGAGCAACCUGCCCCUAGCUCUGGGAUAGCUCCGGGAAACCGGGAUUAAUACCAGAUGCAACCACUUUAGACAUCUGUUGUGGUGGAAAGGAUUCUGGCUAGGGAUGGGCUCGCGGCCUAUCAGCUUGUUGGUGGGGUAACGGCCUACCAAGGCGACGACGGGUAGCCGGCCUGAGAGGGCGACCGGCCACACUGGGACUGAGACACGGCCCAGACUCCUACGGGAGGCAGCAGUGGGGAAUAUUGCGCAAUGGGCGAAAGCCUGACGCAGCGACGCCGCGUGGGGGAUGAAGGCCUUCGGGUUGUAAACCCCUUUCAGCAGGGACGAAGCGAAAGUGACGGUACCUGCAGAAGAAGCGCCGGCUAACUACGUGCCAGCAGCCGCGGUAACACGUAGGGCGCAAGCGUUGUCCGGAAUUAUUGGGCGUAAAGAGCUCGUAGGCGGUCUGUUGCGUCCGCUGUGAAAACUCGGGGCUUAACCCCGAGCUUGCAGUGGAUACGGGCAGACUAGAGGUAGGUAGGGGAGAAUGGAAUUCCCGGUGUAGCGGUGAAAUGCGCAGAUAUCGGGAGGAACACCGGUGGCGAAGGCGGUUCUCUGGGCCUUACCUGACGCUGAGGAGCGAAAGCGUGGGGAGCGAACAGGAUUAGAUACCCUGGUAGUCCACGCUGUAAACGUUGGGCGCUAGGUGUGGGAUCCUUCCACGGAUUCCGUGCC